This 116-nucleotide ribozyme is filed under the name Aedes aegypti (yellow fever mosquito). RNAcentral describes it as "drz-agam-1 ribozyme". It matches the Rfam family "drz-agam-1 ribozyme". Lineage: Eukaryota; Metazoa; Arthropoda; Insecta; Diptera; Culicidae. The record is from Rfam by way of RNAcentral.
UGCCCAGCAAUUCCUAUCCCUAUCUCCUCGCGGUACUGGCCGGGGUACGAGUAACCUUAGGGAAGAUCGGGUAACCAACUCCGGUAGGAACUCUGGACGUAUUAUGACAGGGAAGG